GAUGAACGCUGGCGGCGUGCCUAAUACAUGCAAGUCGAGCGAACGUACGAGAAGCUUGCUUCUCUGAUGUUAGCGGCGGACGGGUGAGUAACACGUGGAUAACCUACCUAUAAGACUGGGAUAACUUCGGGAAACCGGAGCUAAUACCGGAUAAUAUUUUGCACCGCAUGGUUCAAAAGUGAAAGACGGUCUUGCUGUCACUUAUAGAUUGAUCCGCGCUGCAUUAGCUAGUUGGUAAGGUAACGGCUUACCAAGGCAACGAUGCAUAGCCGACCUGAGAGGGUGAUCGGCCAAACUGGAACUGAGACAGGGUCAAGACUCCUAAGGGAGGCAGCAGUAGGGAAUCUUCCGCAAUGGGCGAAAGCCUGACGGAGCAACGCCGCGUGAGUGAUGAAGGUCUUCGGAUCGUAAAACUCUGUGAUUAGGGAAGAACAUAUGUGUAAGUAACUGUGCACAUCUUGACGGUACCUAAUCAGAAAGCCACGGCUAACUACGUG
This 497-nucleotide ribosomal RNA is filed under the name uncultured bacterium. RNAcentral's name for it is "partial 16S ribosomal RNA". It matches the Rfam family "Bacterial small subunit ribosomal RNA", at positions 28 to 507 of the family's 1533-position model. The record is from RNAcentral.